This 292-nucleotide ribosomal RNA is filed under the name uncultured bacterium. Its description in RNAcentral is "partial 16S ribosomal RNA". The record is from RNAcentral.
GGACUACUGGGGUUUCUAAUCCCGUUCGCUCCCCUGGCUUUCGCACCUGAGCGUCAGAAACGAGCCAGAACACUGCCUUCGCCAUUGGUGUUCCUCCGGAUAUCUACGCAUUUCACUGCUCCACCCGGAAUUCCGUGUCCCUCUCUCGCUCUCAAGUCUGCCAGUUUUCCUGCACCCUUCCUGGUUAAGCCAGGAAAUGUCAGCACGAACUUAGCAGACCGCCUGCGUGCGCUUUACGCCCAAUAAAUCCGGACAACGCUUGCCCCCUACGUAUUACCGCGGCGGCUGGCAC